Molecule: ribosomal RNA, 675 nt
Filed under: Clostridioides difficile
Lineage: Bacteria; Bacillati; Bacillota; Clostridia; Peptostreptococcales; Peptostreptococcaceae
Description: bacterial LSU rRNA
Rfam family: Bacterial large subunit ribosomal RNA
Source: RNAcentral
CAACGAGUUACGUUAAGUAGCAAAGUUAAGAAUGUAAGGUGUGGAGCCGUAGCGAAAGCGAGUUUUACCUGAGCGUUCAGUUACUUGACGGAGACCCGAAACCGGGCGACCUUCCCAGGAGCAGGAUGAAGCGAAAGUAAAAUUGCGUGGAGGUCCGAACCCACGAGCGUUGAAAAGCUCGGGGAUGACUUGUGGGUAGCGGUGAAAUUCCAAUCGAGCCCGGAGAUAGCUGGUUCGCCCCGAAAUAGCUUUAGGGCUAGCCUCAAGGUGAGAGAUACGGAGGUAGAGCACUGAAUGUCCUAGGGGGUAUUGCACCUACCGAAGACUAUCAAACUCCGAAUGCCGUCAUCUUAUACUUGGGAGUCAGACUGUGGGUGAUAAGAUUCAUAGUCGAAAGGGCAACAGCCCAGAUCGUCAGCUAAGGUCCCUAAAUGUAAGUUAAGUGGUAAAGGAUGUGGGAUUGCACAGACAACCAGGAUGUUGGCUUAGAAGCAGCCACUCAUUCAAAGAGUGCGUAAUAGCUCACUGGUCGAGUGAUCCUGCGCCGAAGAUUUCCGGGGCUAAAACUUACUACCGAAGCUACGGCAUCAGUAAUGAUGGGUAGGGGAGCUUCCCAUACGGGUUGAAGCAUGACCGUAAGGACAUGUGGACAGUAUGGGAGUGAGAAUGUUGGCA